GACGAACGCUGGCGGCGUGCUUAACACAUGCAAGUCGAACGGAAAGGCCCUGCUUUUGUGGGGUGCUCGAGUGGCGAACGGGUGAGUAACACGUGAGUAACCUGCCCUUGACUGUGGGAUAACUUCAGGAAACUGGGGCUAAUACCGGAUAGGAGCUCCUGCUGCAUGGUGGGGGUUGGAAAGUUUCGGCGGUGGGGGAUGGACUCGCGGCUUAUCAGCUUGUUGGUGGGGUAGUGGCUUACCAAGGCUUUGACGGGUAGCCGGCCUGAGAGGGUGACCGGCCACAUUGGGACUGAGAUACGGCCCAGACUCCUACGGGAGGCAGCAGUGGGGAAUCUUGCACAAUGGGCGGACGCCUGAUGCAGCAACGCCGCGUGCGGGAUGACGGCCUUCGGGUUGUAAACCGCUUUCGCCUGUGACGAAGCGUGAGUGACGGUAAUGGGUAAAGAAGCACCGGCUAACUACGUG
This 468-nucleotide ribosomal RNA is filed under the name uncultured bacterium. RNAcentral's name for it is "partial 16S ribosomal RNA". It matches the Rfam family "Bacterial small subunit ribosomal RNA", at positions 28 to 507 of the family's 1533-position model. The record is from RNAcentral.